CGGGGAGAGGCGGUGGGUGGGGGCAGCGGGGCAGGGGGCUGCCUGGAGCCAGAUGUGCGGGGCCACGACGGGAUGGGGCUCACCUCGGGCACGUGCAGGUGGAUGUGCGAGGUCACCAGAACAGCCAUCCUGCCACCUGGAGCCUGCACCCUUCAUGCACCUACAAAGCUGCGCCCAGCCCUGCUGGCCCAAGACGACCCCUGGGCUGUCAAGGACCCCGCCCUCCAACUGCCUGUGUGGGGCUGAAGGACGUCUCGGGACACGGACGCCCCCUCCGACCCCUGCCCGGCGCUCCCUGCCCUCCUCCCCUGCUCGUGCUGGAGGACCCUCCCGCACGCACACCUGUCCAAGUGUCCCCCAAAUAAAGCUGUGGACGCUGCUGCCA
Equus caballus (horse) is the source of this 385-nucleotide non-coding RNA. The record is from RefSeq and is a predicted model, not a curated record. Lineage: Eukaryota; Metazoa; Chordata; Mammalia; Perissodactyla; Equidae.